Molecule: ribosomal RNA, 674 nt
Filed under: uncultured bacterium
Lineage: Bacteria
Description: bacterial SSU rRNA
Rfam family: Bacterial small subunit ribosomal RNA
Source: RNAcentral
CCGCCGCCUGACUGAACGCUGAGGCCCCAAAAGCGGGGGUAUUGAACCGGGUUAGAACCCCUGUUAGUCCACGCAGUAAACGAUGAAUGCCGGCUGUUCGGGUCAACUGCGACCGGAGGGGCGAAGCGAAAGCGAUAAGCAUUCCACCUGGGGAGUACGCCGGCAACGGUGAAACUCAAAGGAAUUGACGGGGGGCCCGCACAAGCGGAGGAACAUGUGGUUUAAUUCGAUGAUACGCGAGGAACCUUACCCGGGCUCAAACGGGGGCGGAAUGGCGGAGAGACCCGUCAGUCUACGGACCGCUUCCGAGGUGCUGCAUGGUUGUCGUCAGCUCGUGCCGUGAGGUGUCGGCUUAAGUGCCAUAACGAGCGCAACCCCUGCCGACUGUUGCUAACGAGUUAGGUCGAGGACUCAGUCGGGACUGCCGGCGCAAGCCGCGAGGAAGGCGGGGAUGACGUCAAAUCAGCACGGCCCUUACGUCCGGGGCGACACACGUGUUACAAUGGGCGGCACAGAGGGAAGCCAGGUGGCGACACCGCGCGGAACCCGAAAGCCGUUCUCAGUUCGGAUCGGAGUCUGCAACCCGACUCCGUGAAGCUGGAUUCGCUAGUAAUCGCGCAUCAGCCAUGGCGCGGUGAAUACGUUCCCGGGCCUUGUACACACCGCCCGUCAAG